Molecule: long non-coding RNA, 1295 nt
Organism: Rosa rugosa (rugosa rose)
Lineage: Eukaryota; Viridiplantae; Streptophyta; Magnoliopsida; Rosales; Rosaceae
Exons: 3
Source: RefSeq, a predicted model, not a curated record
GAAUAAGUACUUUUGGUUGCCGGGUCCAACACUGAUGGGAAGUGGUGAGGGAGGUGUUGGAGGUGAUGAUGUUGGAGAAGCAUAGAGUGCUCUUUUCUCAUCAUCAGCCUCCAUUGGAAUGAAGCGCACAAUGCAGAAUGGUAUAAACCUAACGGUCAUGGGGAUGCUCUUGUUCAGCUGCUCACUCAAUCUGGCGUUCUGCUCACUCAAUCUGGCGUUCCAAUUAGGUGUAUGAUGUGAUUUACCCCUCCCAGUUUACCAAACUAAAAGUUUUACCAGACUUUGAAAUAGGCUAAACAUCCAAGCACAACCUUUUACUAGUCAGUUUGUUGCACAUAUAUACUUGGAAUUGAUUAGUUUGUUGCCAAAUUCCCAUGCUCCUACGUACACUUUGCUUUCCUUUUGCUAAUUUCAUUAGAAAACAAUAUAUGAAGGUGAACAAAGGAAUUGGCACAACGUACACCGGUGAAAUGCACAGCCCUCUGCUAGCUAAACCAAAUGUGCAAAGAUGAGUGCACUAGCUAUGUAAUUAAACAUCAUAAUUCAUAAAUCUGAGGUCCAUCUUCUCUAUGUUUAUUGAAUUUCAAGAUUCCGUUUCAAAUUUUGUUUCCUUGCAAGAUUAAUUAAGAGACAACGUUGUCACAGCCGAACUCUUACACCCUUAAUAUCUAUUCUUCUUCAAGUAUGUACCGUGUCUACACGAGUCUUUUUACCCACAUUGAUUUUCCAUCUGCUUCUUUACGUGAUCCUUCUCAAACUCAACCACUUACCAACAUAUCUACUAGUACUGAUGCUCCAGCUGCAUGCUAGUCAUUCCAGUAACUUCCGGAUGUCUUGACGAUGAGCGAUCAAUUGCAAUUUGUGCUCCAUAUAUCCCGGCCACAACGAUCAUGCAAUGUGAACUAGAGCAAAAAUGGGAUUCUAAGAAGAAGCGAGGUUAUGCCACUAGAGUUUCUUCUGAAGUUAAAAGGCCGGACAUGGACCCGUAAAGCAGCUGCCCCUAGCUUGUUCUGGAAUGAAAACAAGCCGUGAUUGAGGAGUAUCAAGAUUCAAGACAUAAAGCUAGACCAAAUUGCCUGCAAGUGGUCGGUUUUACAAAGUGAAAGAAAUCCAGAUUGCUCAUCGGAAGAUAUAAAGCUCACGGCUACUAUAGUCAAGAGGAACACAAACAUAAUGUUUAUAGAAAGAACACGCCAUACGUACUUGCAUAUACGAGCAUAAUGUUGGACACAAACAUUAUACCAUCUGUAGCUUUAUCGACUGCAGGUACUAGUAUAUCGAUUUUACUAUAUAUG